UGUGUUGCAUCCUAGAUAACGCAGGCUGGUCAACAACAGAUUUUGAGAGUCUGGAACUUAGCAAUACAUGAAUAUAGAAGGCUUAAAUUGACUAAAUCAUGGAGCUUAGAUUGACGAUACCAGAGAGCUUACUUAGAGAGCUUAGACAAACUAUUAUUAGUAUAUAAAUAGAUGCUCACCACAACACACACUACAUGAACCACAUCACAUAGAGAGCUUACUUGCAUAGCUUAGAUAGAGAAGUAUGCACAAUAAACAUAUACAAUGGAGAGUACACCGAGAGCUUAGUUACGGAGCUUGGGUACAUAAAUAUACUCACAUGAAAAAUAUACAGUGGAGAGUACAAGUAGAGUUUGAUUACGGAACUUAGUUAUAUUCAAUGGUCCUCUACUAUGAAAUACUUACCUAUUCACAAUCAUCUUUUCCUCAAAUUCUGUAGCUAAAGAAAAUACGUAGAUGUGAUUUUCAACGACUAUUUUAUGUGAGUGUGGAUGUUUGAUAUUGUUAUUGAUAAUUAUUUAUAUCGUCAGUUUUUCUUACAUCAAUGUUUCUUACGUUUAAUUAAUUUUACAAAUUUAUGCACUCUUGGGGAUAUGAGUACUUUUCACAUUUUCAGCAUUUGUGUGUCAUGGAUAUGUUGAGAAACAACCGCGGUGUAUGAGGUGGCAUCAGGCAUGUAAGAAAUCGAGUGGGAGGUGCGUCUCACUUGGCAGACGAUUCAUGGUUACUUGGGUUAGUACAUCCCUUGUAACUAUCCGCGUCUAGGUACAUGAGACUAGAGGUUGGAGAGACCGCAACCAUAUCCAUAUCCCCGUUUAUAUAUAAGAUCGCACGAGUUUCUUAUGACGAUUCAAGAACUAUGUACCCCAUUUUAUAAUUAUUUAUAAUUACAAUCACCCGAUACUGGUGGAGAUGAUGAUCGAGAUUGAACGACUGUCACAUAGGCCACCUCCCGGAACAAGAUGUAACCAUUAAAUUUAUUGUCUUUGUUACCAAAAAUUUAGAAGAAUUAUUUAUUAAUUUGUACCAAUAUGCUAAAAAAAUUGAAGUUAAUAUUUGUGAAUGUGAAAAGGAAAUUAAUUUUGUUCAAAUGACAAAAAGUGGUUAGUCAAAAUAAUUUGAUCUCGAAACAUCCUUACAUGCUAAGAAACCUGUCUUGCUAACAAAGUCAUAACUCGUAAUAACUCGAACGGGUCCACCCAUUCAACUCGCUUGUGGUGGAGCAGGUGCAUAUAAACAUCGAUCUUCAUAAAUUCAUCUCUCACGAAAACAAAUCAGAAAAUCGGAGACUUUUAGCUCAGAGUUAUUUUUUCACCAUGUCGGUGCUCGAUUCAAUCUUCAAACAGCGCUUCAACGCUGCCAAAUGGUAAUCCUCUUUUUCCCUUCUCUUUUUCUCUAAUUGAUGAUCGAUUUUUAUUUGGAAAAAUCCUGUUUUAUUAUGAAUUUUAGGGUUUUAUGAUUGUAACCUUUGCUGAACUUCUUCCCAGUAGUUGUUUGAGAAAUUCAUGUUUGCUGAACUCCAAAUUUGAUCUUGAAUUCCUGAUCGUAUUCUGAUUUUCUCAAAUUGAUAAUUGUCAGCAAAAGUUUACCCAAAUCGGAUUUAAUCUGAUUUUGGUUUCUGUGAUUGUGUCCCCAAUUUUGUAAAUAAUUUAAAUAGUGCAGUGAUUUUUGAACUCUGAUUUACAGUAAAACUUUGCUAAAACUCACAAUCCCGCGGAUUAAGUUGCUGCGGAAUCGAAGAGAGAUGCAGCUAAGGCAGAUGCGUAGAGAAAUUGCCAAGCUACUUGAAACUGGUCAAGAAGCCACUGCUCGAAUUCGGGUAUUCUUUAUCAUUCAUAAUUCACUCUGUUCGUUUCGUUGUAGUAUUCAUAUCCGUCUGCUUAUUUUUAGGAAGCCGUUGAAGAGUUAUUAAAGGAUUUAAGUCCGUCUUUUUUGGUGGUCUAAUAGUAGAUUAUGAAGUAUCGUUUUUCGUUGUUCAGGUAGAGCAUAUCAUACGAGAAGAGAAGAUGAUGGCUGCACAAGAAAUAGUUGAGCUCUUUUGCGAACUCGUUGUUGUCCGCCUUCCGAUCAUUGAAAUACAAAGGUAUUCGUUUCAUGUCCUGCGUAUUGACUAACUAUAUAUACAGUGAUCAAGUAUUCUUAAUAAUGGGUUCUAGUGUUGAUUGAUGGUUUUUAGCAAUUUUCGGAUUUAAUUGGCAUUUUAUGUUGUCUAAUUAUCCCAAAAUGGGAAUGCAACCUGGAGCCGUCAAAAUAUGCUCAUGAUAUCUCAUAUCUCCUGAUGGUUUCUAUUUAGUGCUACUCUAGACUAAGGACUUGGAAUUGUCUUCUGUUUUUUUUUUCUUUUGAAAACGUAGAAUAGCUAACUUUACUCAUAGCAUUUUGCAAGUGAUUUUCUCUCUCUUUAGCUCACUCUCAAACACACACAUGCCCGUCUAGGUAGGUCAUAAAAUAAAAUGCACGAACACAAUGAAAAAACAAGACCUUGUGCAGUGUCGGACAUGAAAAGGCAUGAACACAUAUCAAAAACAUACUAUUGUCGAUGGCAUGUAAAAGAUGUUUCGAGCACAUUAGGUAUUUUUUUUUAAUUUUAUUGUUUUAAAGUCUAGGGUAUGGUAAUGAAAGUAGAAAAAUAGAAUUCCUAAAAAUAAAAGAAGUAGAUUAAAUGUCAUUACCUCAUCAAAAUCCAUUCUCUAUAUUUUAUUCCUUAAUUUUUCGGCAACACUGUUGUCCAUGUACCACACUAGUUCAAUUUCGACGUAUUGGCCGAAUGAUUAUUUUUUACUUGACAAUCUUUGCAGUGUACAUGCACACAUACAUACAUACUAUAUAUAUGUGUGUGUAUAUAUAUAUAUAGGAAAGCCGUGUCAGAGCCUUGUUGUGUCCUAAAACUUUUUAAGAAUUUCUAUCUUCCGUGCUUGCCCCGCCAUGUCGUGUCUGUCCAUCGUAGCCCAUGUAUGUUGUCCCUGCAUUCGGUGCUGUUGCAGAAUAUGGUAGCACUUGAGUGCUUCUGGUUAAAGUCACUCAUAUUUGUUUACUUUGUGAAAGUUGUAUACUGAAGAAAUUGAUGCACAUAAGGAGUUUAAAAAAAAAAUUUGUCUAAAGAAGUAUUACUUAGGUAAAUUAAGAUUAUCCAUUCGUUUAUCUCCAAAGUUAUGCUGCUGAUCAACAAAUAACGUGUCCCCCCAUUUUUCUGGGAAAGUGAAUUUGGUUGACAUAUCACACUAUCGAGGCAGGUAGGGAUUCUAUUAAGACAUAAUGACAAUGUUGAUCCCAAGGGUAGUCAAAAUCGAGAUUUUAAUUAGAAUUCUAAGGGGCUAUAAAAUUGUUACCCUAAAAUUGGAUCGUAAAAUUGUAGGAUUUUACAUAUCUUGUAAAUUUAAAUAGCAUUCCGAAAUUUUAUGUCUGAACAUAUAUAAAACAUAUUUUAACACAAUGUCUUAAGUCCUAACAUCAUUGCAGUAAAACGUAGAUUUGAAAUUUUUUUCAGGAUUUUACUUCCGAACUUGUAGGAUUUUGCUUGGGACGAGAGUCCACUAGGAUUUAACAGGGUAGAGGCUAAUAAAAUCGUAACAUCCUAGGAUUUUAGGAUUUUAAUCGGGACUUUAACUACAUUGGUUGAUACUCCAAAUGCAUCGAGUGUAAACCACAUUCGUAAUGGAUAGUUUAGGUAAUAGUAGUUAUAUGCAAACAAUUGGAUAAUAAAUUAUAAUGCACCAGUAAAUCAUCACAUGAAUCCGAAAGAAAUAAGUUAAACUUUCCUGUGGGAAGAGAAAUGGCUUUCAAUUAUAGAUUGUAGCAUUUAGUUUGGAUGUAAUAAGGAAUUUAUAUUUCAUCUUGAGUCCAUGUCGAAUGAUUAAUGUGUUAUGCUGUGGCAGGGUCAAAACUGUAUUUUUAAGAGGAUCGAAAUCCAAAUAUCUUCAGUUUUUAGUCUUAAGGUAUAAUAAUUAAAUAAUUAAUUAGGUUGUAAGGAUGAUAUAUAUAUAUGUAUGUGUGUGUGUGUGUGAUCUGUAUUUGUAUAUUUGUGGAGAACUAUGCUUGGAGAGUAUGGUACCUUUCCACGAGACCGUUAACUUCCCGAUUUUGUGUUCCUCAAACGUUGUUCGAUCAAUACAUGAUGAUCAUACGACAGUGCUUAAUUCCUUCUAGUUAUUUUUCUAUUACACGUGAUUGAGUUUUCUUUUCAUAGUGUGGGUAUAUUUUAACACAUCUCAAUUUGGAUGCAUGUUGAUUUUUUCCACAAAUACUAUGAGCAAGUUCACAUGCUUCAAGUAUCGAGUAUUCUCUCCACAUAUCCUAAAAAACUUGAUGUAGUUUGUUCUGUAGUUACGACUCAUAUUACGAACUAAUCCUUUCCUUGUUGUACAUAUUUUAGGGAAUGCCCUCUCGACUUAAAGGAGGCAAUUUCCAGUAUAUGCUUUGCGGCACCAAGGUGUGCCGAUCUGCCAGAGUUGAUACAGGCACAAAUGCUGUUUGCUGGUAAAUACAGUAAAGAAUUCGUCAUCGCUGCGACUGAGCUUAUGCCUGAAUCUGGUGUCAAUCGCCAGGUCAGAAUAGAUAGAGACCAUUUGUUUUCUUGCACACUUUGUAAACAGCCUUUUCGGUAAAAUUUGAUUUUUUUUUUUGGCAGUUGAUCGAGCUUUUAUCCAUUCGAGCCCCUGCACCUGAUGUAAAACUUAAGCUACUAAAGGAAAUUGCUUUAGAGCAUGAACUCGAGUGGGACCCGACUGCUACAGAAAGUGAAUUGUUGAAGCCACAUGAAGACUUACUCGUAAUAAAUUACAUUGCUUUCCGAAUCUUGAUUUUUUAUAUUUAUUAUUCUUCGAGGCUUAUACAUGUCUCGUUUCUGUUUUACAGAAUGGGCCAUCUCAAUUUGUUAGUGGUUCGAAUCUGGAUGAGCCGACAUUCUCUACAUCAGAACGUGGUGGCACUCAUGAUGAAAAAGACAACAACACUGCUGCUUCUGAUGCAGAUUACGACAUCAUCGAUUUCCAAGAAAUCCCGAAGCAGCCGUUAUUGCAACAGUCAACAACAAAUAGAGGCACUGCUUCAGCACCAGAAAUGAUGCAUUUUCCUUCUUCUGCUCUAUCCGAAAUUGACGAUGAAGAAGAAGAAGAAGAACAAGAACCGAAGAAUUUCUCACACUUGGAGCCUGAAGAUAACUUGCAGGAGAAGAAACCAUUUCAUAAAGAAGAAGAGAAGCAGUUUGUGCCAUUCAUAUCCAGCCCAUCACUUCAUCCAGUGAAAGAGCAAAACCGACACCCCGCAGUCUUAAAGACCAGAAACGAAGACAUGGAUUUACAAGAUGUACUGGCUGCUGCUCAAGCAGCUGCUGACUCAGCAGAACGGGCCGCAGCGAGCGCCAGGGCAGCAGCGAGCCUUACCCAGCUUCGAAUCAGCGAGCUUGUCAAGAAAAGGAACGACGAUUUCGAUAAACAGAACUCGGUUAGUGAUUGUGACGGUGCUUCGACUUCUCCGAAGCACAACGGUACGCAUUACGAUCCACCAUUGGCUGUCGAACCCUCUUGCCCAGGCAACAACAAUUUACUUGGUCAGGGUGUAGACAAUCACCAACCUCCGAGAUCGCCUCCGAUUGAUGAUGAGUCGUAUUUUUCGUACCCAAACUUAUUCACGUCUUCUCAAGGCUCGAAUCUGGAUAAUCAUGCACAAUCUCCUACAGAUUCCAAGUGAGCAAGUAAAUGUACUCUUUUCUUAAAGUUUGGUUAUCGCUGUACACCUCUCUGUAUUUGUGUGUUCUUUGGUUUUGAGGUGAAUUUGAUUGAGUUUUCGGCUUUUUUUUUCUUUUUUUUUUUUUUUUUUUUUUUUACUUUUUUUGUUUUUAAUUUUUUAAAUAUGCAGUAUUGUUGUUCUACCCUUUUAAAUGACCUUUGUGUAAAUUGAGUUAUGGGCCGCAUGAAGAUUUUAUCCUCUUAACACUUACCGUGUAAUUUGAGGUCUUUUUAGUUCUGAAAUGUUGUAUGUUUCAUGUGAAUUAAUAACAAUAAUACUUGUACCAUAGUGCAUCCAUAGUUAUGAUUUAUAAUUUAUAACAAUAAUGCAUUAUAGCAUAUUUUAUAAGAAAAACAAUUUCUUAGAAUGGAUUAGCAAUUAACUGUCAAUCAUAAUAAAAAGGGAAAAUCAGGUAGGUCUGGUGAAGAACACCGGGUAAUUUUGCACUAUAGAUCUAUAUACAAAUAACUACCAACUAAACAAAUAUACACUGAGUGGUGGAGCCAGGAAUUCGAGAUAGAGUAGACUUAAUAUUUACGGGGAUUUGGGGCUGAGCCCCCGAGAUUUUUUUUUUUGAUUCAUUCGUAUAAAGUAGCACAAAAUUUAUAAACUUCAACUAAGACCAAAUAUUUUUUUGGUGGAUGAGCUAAAUUAAAUUAUUUUGUUGGGCUAAUUACAUAUAAUUAUAGUAUUUAGAAGAAUUUUUUUUGAAUCCACAGUGGGCUGUAGCCCACCCUUGCCAAAGGGUGCCUCCGCCACUGCAUACAUAUGUCUGUGUGUGUGUUAUUGUGCGUAGAAUAAUGAUGCAGAAUCAUCUAGGGUGUAGCAUCUACAAAACGGAGAUAAGGAGGGUGCCGAUAUUUAUCAUCUUACAUUCACUUUGAUCUUUAUUAAUCUCAAUAUUUUUCACCCUCAAUAAACACUGGACAUUCAACCAAUUGUCUUCAAUGCUCCAAUUAUAUCCAAAUAAAGAACAUUUGUUAUCACAAGCACAUCUUGAUUUUUUACCAAUCAAAGAAAAGGAGACAAAUGGUCAUAGUUAAUUAAAUAAUUGGACAUUAUUGGAUAUUUGGUUAGUUCACUAACUUUUCGACUUUAACUCUAAGAAAAUUUUAAAAAAUAAUUUAAUCUUUACUAAUUAAAAGAUUACUUAUUGGACUUGUGUAUUUUCAAAUGAAAAGGUUGAACUUAUGAGAUUUUAAUCCUAACUAUGUAUUUAGUGAAGGGUUCUCUAAUUUUUCCUAAAUAAAAAUAUAUUUGUAUAAUGAGUUGCAAAAUGUCACAACAAAGAUUUUUGAUUUUUUGGUAGUAUAAAAGAUCACAACAAAGAUUUUUUGUGGUAUAAAAGAUCUUGAAUUCAUAUUAGGACAAAAUAAAAUGGAAAAACAAACAAAUACAUUAGUUCAUAAAAAGAUGUGAAAUAUAUAUAUAUGGAAAUAACUUCAACAUGGACUAAAGUACUAAAAUUAAUUUUGUUCCCAAUUUAACCCUUUUCUGCAUAUUUAUGAAGGAGUGGGUUUGGUAGGGCAACCAUAUCGAACCUCUUGAAUCACUACCAUUACUGAAAUUUUGGUAUUAUAAAUUCAUUACCACUGCCACACCAAAAAAUUCGGUACGGUACGGUACUGUAUGAUAAUGGUAAUUACCAAUUUACGUUAUCUACUAUUGGUGUCAAAAUUGAACAUCAUUUUUUCAAAACAAUUCAUGGCAUAUACUCGUUUAAAUUUUUCAAGAUUAGUAUUUUGUCUUGGCUGGAGAGUGGCACGAGUUCAAUGGACUCCUCAGCCAGAAGAGGGGGAAGGAAGCUUUGGCGGCAUUAAAGACAAUCUCUAUGGCUAAAAGACAACGGCUGGACUAAUAUCAUAUUCGAAGGUGAUUCCAUACAAGUUAUUAACGCUCUUUGCAAUUGACAAAUUGAGAAUAUACAUCACCAUCUUUUGACGCGCUCGUGUAAAAAUGCUUUAUUAUUGAGAAUUCCUUUGUUUGCCGCUCUCUUACUUCCGUUAAGAGAUCGGGCAAUCUGUUACCUCACUCUAUUGCAAAACUUCCUUGUUUUGUCUCUUUGGAGGGUUCUAACCUCCCGUUGGAUUUAGCGAAUGUUGCUAAGUAUAAUUCUCCUUUUUCCAAAAAAAGAAAAAAAAUUGUUAUUUAAGAUAUAAGUAUUCUAAAUACAUGUCCUUAACUUACCUAAUAUAAAAUACUUCUUAAAUAAAAUUAUAACAUAAAAAAUCUCCACAUAAACUAUAUCAUUAUUAAUAAAAUGAUUCAAAAUAUUUUUAGCAUACCUAAAAAGUACAACUAUUAAUAGUUACUUAACUACUGCUAUCUUCACUUUUUAUUUAUUAAUAAUAUUUUAAUACGGUAGGACAAUAUCAUUUUAAUAUUUUGAGUAGUGUUACGCUAUCAAAAUAUUUUGAUAUUGUACGUUAUGGUAAAAUAAUUAUUGGGUAGAAAUAUUUCAAUGAAAUGUGAUUAGAGUUGAAUAAAUUGGUAGGGCAUAAUGGUAAAAAGAAGCCAAUAUCAUUCAUUUUGGUCAAAAACAGCAGAAAUAAAUCCUCUAAUGUGAGACAGACACGUGUCAUUUUUUCUUAUCCCUCCCGAUAAGACAGCCAAUCCUUCUUCCCAACCCACAUAUAGUUUCUCCAAUCUGGACCGUCCAUCACUUCAAUUCCUUCAAUCCUAUCCGUUCAUCCCCACCCAAAACCCCCCUUCUUCUAUUUACCACAUCAUUUCAAACUCCACUCUCUCUCUCUCUCUCUCCUCUCCACCACUUACUUUCUCUCUCUAGAAUUCAGCAGCAAUGGCCGCCACCGCCCUCAACCAAACCCCAAUCACAUUCCAAUCCAGCACGCCGCUCUCCUCCCAACUCCACUCCAAGCCAGCCCCCUCCAAAAUCUCCCUCACCUCAACCCUAAAAUCCACCAAACUCACAAUCAAACCCCUCCUCCGCCGCCGCACCCGCGGCGCGUCCGGCGCCAGGAUGGCCGACAGCGCCGCGGCGAGCUACGCGAACGCCCUCGCCGACGUGGCGAAGUCGAACGACACGCUGGAGCAGACGACGGCCGACCUCGAGAAGCUGGAGAAGAUCUUCGCGCAGGAGCCGGUGAUGAAGUUCUUCACAAACCCUACCAUCAUCGUGGAGGAGAAGCGGAAGAUCGUCGACGAGAUCGUCGAGUCGGCGGCGCUGCAGCCGUACGUGGCGAACUUCCUGAACAUCCUGGUCGACAC
This 8955-nucleotide long non-coding RNA is filed under the name Erythranthe guttata (spotted monkey flower). RNAcentral's name for it is "long non-coding RNA (EGUT_LNC000298)". Lineage: Eukaryota; Viridiplantae; Streptophyta; Magnoliopsida; Lamiales; Phrymaceae. The record is from RNAcentral.